UUCAUCAGCAAAAACGCCAUAGGAGGUCUGAAACAAGCUGGUUUCUCAUAUUUUUAUACCAUAUCAGGAAUCCGAAGAUAAACGCGGAAAAGAGAAAGUAUCAAACUAGCCUUUGAACUUUUACAACUCCUACAAAUUGGCCCAGAUUGACGUAUAUAUAUAUGUUUGGAGGAUCGGAUCUACAUCAAGGAUCACACUAUCCAGAUUUACUCUGGUAGAUUUUGUUAAACAACUUUUUGAUUUAUAUGGCAUGUAUAGGGAU
Gossypium raimondii (Peruvian cotton) is the source of this 262-nucleotide long non-coding RNA. RefSeq lists it as uncharacterized. NCBI's taxonomy places the organism in Eukaryota, Viridiplantae, Streptophyta, Magnoliopsida, Malvales, Malvaceae. The record is from RefSeq and is a predicted model, not a curated record. The transcript has 3 exons.